GUCUCAGCAGCCGCGGUAAUACGUAGGUGGCAAGCGUUGUCCGGAAUUAUUGGGCGUAAAGCGUGCGCAGGCGGUUUCUUAAGUCUGAUGUGAAAGCCCACGGCUUAACCGGGGAGGGUCAUUGGAAACUGGGAGACUGGAGUGCAGAAGAGGAAAGUGGAAUUCCAAGUGUAGCGGUGAAAUGCGUAGAGAUUUGAAGGAACACCAGUGGCGAAGGCGACUUUCUGGUCUGCAACUGACGCUGAGGCUCGAAAGCAUGGGGAGCAAACAGGAUUAGAUACCCUGGUAGUCCAUGCCGUAAACGAUGAGUACUAAGUGUUGGAGGUAU
Molecule: ribosomal RNA, 328 nt
Filed under: uncultured bacterium
Lineage: Bacteria
Description: bacterial SSU rRNA
Rfam family: Bacterial small subunit ribosomal RNA
Source: RNAcentral